RNAcentral lists this unclassified non-coding RNA (546 nucleotides) under Hevea brasiliensis (rubber tree). Lineage: Eukaryota; Viridiplantae; Streptophyta; Magnoliopsida; Malpighiales; Euphorbiaceae. The record is from RNAcentral.
AGAUAAUUGGUCUAUUUCUAAAAAAUAAAUUGACUUCAAGGAUUCUUUAUUUGGCGCGACAGAAUUUGUAUGUAUAUUUUUACCCUGUAACAAUUGCUUCUUGAAAAUUGUACAUUCAACUGUAAUUGGCUUCCAGAUAAAGCACACUGAAUGAUAAAUCUACUUUUCAUGUUUGUUCUUACCUGACAUUGGAUUGCAAGUGUUUUUUAUUGACCUUAAACAGAUUCCCCUAAUUCUAUGGUUGUAAAGUCUAAUAAACCAUAGUCAUAAUGUUGCUUCAUGAGUACUGUAAUUGAUUUACUGUUUGCACCUUGUUUCAAAUUUGAAAUUUUCCUCUUACACUGUCUUGCUGCUUUUUUAGGCCCACACAUUGGGUAAGAUUCAUUCAACGAUUACGACUUCUUGGAGCAAAUUCAUCAGCAUUAAGAAAUUCAAAAACUUUAACUUCUGAGGAUCUUCUGCAGUUGACUUCAGAAAAUCAUUUAGUAUUGACUCAAGAAUCAAAAACAAGCUCACUACAAAAGUUUCAUGCAGUUAUGGGUUUAG